This 2101-nucleotide long non-coding RNA is filed under the name Nicotiana tabacum (common tobacco). RNAcentral's name for it is "long non-coding RNA (NTAB_LNC017828)". Lineage: Eukaryota; Viridiplantae; Streptophyta; Magnoliopsida; Solanales; Solanaceae. The record is from RNAcentral.
UAAAGCAAAUUAGGGGAUUCAUGAGUUAAUUUCUCACGUUAUUGAUGAACAAAAAGGGAAAGAAAAUGGGCCUCUACUUAGGCCCAAGCAACAAUUAAUGUGUUCAAUUUUGGCAAUGUGCUUUAUACAAAAUCCAGAAAAAGAAAAAAAAAUGAAUCAUACAAAAUUACACACGGCUUCGAACCAUGUUCAUUUGUGCGUGAAAAUCACAUUUUUAUGAAUGCACAUAAGUCCAGAUUCUUUGGGAAGCAAUUACAUGUGCUGAAUUUCUUUGGGAUGCAUUUUACUGAACUCCGUGUAACACUGUUACAUUUAAUACUCAGUUGAAAAACGAAUACGGAAUGCUAAUAACAUCAGCACCUUACUGAUAAACACGACACAUCAUGGUUCACAUAUUAUUUUGCAGAACCUAUUCAAGAUAGUGAGAUACACAUUUUUCACUUGUUCUAAGAUACAAGUACCAAAAAUAAGAAAAUAUAUAUUGCCUUAAGGCAAAAGACAUGCAAUAUCUAAUACUCUACUUAGUUAACUAAUCAUACUUUACCAACUUGAUUCAAUUGGUUUUGGAGAAAUAUUAGCCAACUAAUCCAUACAUGAACGUCUUCUACAUAUAAAAAAUUUGAGCCAUUUUCUUAGGAAAACAAAACCAAAAGUAAGAUUUAAUCAAAUAUUAUGCAAAAUAUUGCUGCUAAAUAGAUUUAAUCAAAUAUUAUGCAAAAUAUUGCUGCUAAACUUAAAGGAUACACGAACUAAGCUAACCUUCACAAAAUUAGGAGAAAAGUGAGGGGAGAAAUAGAACACAAAAGUCAAUCUUCUUGCUACUAAUUAAGGAAAAACUCCCUACCUUUCUAUAUUUCCCUUUUUUAAACAUAAAUAUACUGCAAAUUAACCAAAACUUCUCAACAGUUCCAGGUUAUUGCCUAAACCCAGUAGUGAUUAUCAACAUCUCGGAUAAGAAGGAUGCAGCGGAACAAAUACAUGAAAGUUUUUAAACAUGUAACAUAUGAAUGGAGAAGAAGUGAUUAACCCAACUCAAAACAUACACACAGAUUCUGCCAUGCCUUGAUAAGGAGAGUAAAACAAUAUAAACCCCUCAUCAAGAUUCAACAGCUCCAACACUCUACUUUUAUAUAAGGCUUCAUCUUAUUUUUUUAGCAAAUCACAUGCUGAUUUUAACGAACCAUAUGAACGAUUUAAAUGCGUCAAGUGUGCAUGUGUGCAAUCAGCAAAAGAAAUAGGCUACUACAGUGAUUCUUAGCAGGCAAAUCCAUAGUAGAUUUUUAGCCUUAAACUAGCCAAAAAUCACAUCCAUUCACGUUUAAAACAGAGCAAACAACCAUUUUACACUUUUUCAUCAAAUGACUCAAAAGAAGAGCCAACACUUCAUUUUAAAACAGAAAAAAGAAACAUAGAAAUGAGAUGUGUACCUAAAUUCGUAAACGAAAUCGAAACUUUGCCAAAUAAAGGCUAAGGAGGAAACCAGCAAUGACGAACUCAGCAAAACCAACAGCAGAAGAAUAGCCGAAGAUAGCUUCAAGACCCCAAUGUUUUUUCUAAAAAAUGUCAACAGUCGAGAAUCUCAGCAAAGAAAUGAACUCGAAUCCAAAAUGAACUCAAACUAUUUUUUGGUAUGUGUUUUGGAAUGAAAAGGAGCAGAUUGAAGAAAAAGGGCUCGAAGAAAGAGUGACGACUAAAAAUCCUAGAAAUUUUCGGCUAAGUUGUGAAGAUUUUUUCCGAUUUUUUCCUCCUAAUUUCUCUCUCUAAUUAGCACAGAAUACUUACCUCCAAUAUAUAGCCCUCAAAACUUUCGAAAACUCUGCCCAAAAAAAUCCGAAAAUCCCUCAAGUUUUUGAACAAUUUUGGGACAAAUGGAGGGCGUGGAUUGAUUCACAUCUAUCUACGACUCCCAUUCGUCCAACAAUUGUCCUUUUGUACAAAAAUUCGCUGUUUUGAGGGAAUAAUCGUACUCCUCUCUGACAAAUCCGUUGGGAAAUAGAGGUGACGUGGAGAGAGGGACCAUUUUGAGUGAGCUCUCUCGAAACUCAAGCAAGUUAAAGCCAAGCUCAGUGAAGAAGAAGCACAGUAGCGCCGCUUCUCUGAU